This 513-nucleotide ribosomal RNA is filed under the name uncultured bacterium. RNAcentral's name for it is "bacterial SSU rRNA". It matches the Rfam family "Bacterial small subunit ribosomal RNA", at positions 28 to 529 of the family's 1533-position model. The record is from RNAcentral.
GACGAACGCUGGCGGCGUGGAUUAGGCAUGCAAGUCGAACGGUAUCAUCCUUUCGGGGGUGAGAGAGUGGCGAACUGGUGAGUAACACGUAGGUUAUCUACCCUCAAGACGGGGACAACCCAGGGAAACUUGGGCUAAUACCGGAUGUGAGCAACUUUUAGUUGUUUGAAAGGUGGCGUAAGCUGUCGCUUGGGGAUGAGCCUGCGUCCUAUUAGUUAGUUGGUGAGGUAACGGCUCACCUAGGCAAUGAUAGGUAGGCGGCCUUAACGGGUGGUCGCCCACACUGGGAUUGAGAUACGGCCCAGACUCCUACGGGAGGCAGCAGUCGAGAAUAGUCUACAAUGGACGGAAGUCUGAUAGUGCGACGCCGCGUGAACGAAGAAUCCCUUCGGGGUGUAAAGUUCUUUUAUACGUGAGCAGUGCCCUUUAUAUGAAUAGUAUAGAGGGAGGGAUUUAAGCGUAUGAAUAAGCAACGGCUAACUCCGUGCCAGCAGCCCGGUAAACAUACUCGUA